GACGAACGCUGGCGGCGUGCUUAACACAUGCAAGUCGAACGGAAAGGCCCUGCUUUUGUGGGGUGCUCGAGUGGCGAACGGGUGAGUAACACGUGAGUAACCUGCCCUUGACUUUGGGAUAACUUCAGGAAACUGGGGCUAAUACCGGAUAGGAGCUCCUGCUGCAUGGUGGGGGUUGGAAAGUUUCGGCGGUUGGGGAUGGACUCGCGGCUUAUCAGCUUGUUGGUGGGGUAGUGGCUUACCAAGGCUUUGACGGGUAGCCGGCCUGAGAGGGUGACCGGCCACAUUGGGACUGAGAUACGGCCCAGACUCCUACGGGAGGCAGCAGUGGGGAAUAUUGCACAAUGGGCGGAAGCCUGAUGCAGCAACGCCGCGUGCGGGAUGACGGCCUUCGGGUUGUAAACCGCUUUCGCCUGUGACGAAGCGUGAGUGACGGUAAUGGGUAAAGAAGCACCGGCUAACUACGUGCCAGCAGCCGCGGUGAUACGUAGGGUGCGAGCGUUGUCCGGAUUUAUUGGGCGUAAAGGGCUCGUAGGUGGUUGAUCGCGUCGGAAGUGUAAUCUUGGGGCUUAACCCUGAGCGUGCUUUCGAUACGGGUUGACUUGAGGAAGGUAGGGGAGAAUGGAAUUCCUGGUGGAGCGGUGGAAUGCGCAGAUAUCAGGAGGAACACCAGUGGCGAAGGCGGUUCUCUGGGCCUUUCCUGACGCUGAGGAGCGAAAGCGUGGGGAGCGAACAGGCUUAGAUACCCUGGUAGUCCACGCUGUAAACGGUGGGUACUAGGUGUGGGGUCCAUUCCACGGGUUCCGUGCCGUAGCUAACGCUUUAAGUACCCCGCCUGGGGAGUACGGCCGCAAGGCUAAAACUCAAAGGAAUUGACGGGGCCCCGCACAAGCGGCGGAGCAUGCGGAUUAAUUCGAUGCAACGCGUAGAACCUUACCUGGGUUUGACAUGGAUCGGGAGUGCUCAGAGAUGGGUGUGCCUCUUUUGGGGUCGGUUCACAGGUGGUGCAUGGCUGUCGUCAGCUCGUGUCGUGAGAUGUUGGGUUAAGUCCCGCAACGGGCGCAACCCUUGUUCACUGUUGCCAGCACGUUAUGGUGGGGACUCAGUGGAGACCGCCGGGGUCAACUCGGAGGAAGGUGGGGAUGACGUCAAGUCAUCAUGCCCCUUAUGUCCAGGGCUUCACGCAUGCUACAAUGGCUGGUACAGAGAGUGGCGAGCCUGUGAGGGUGAGCGAAUCUCGGAAAGCCGGUCUCAGUUCGGAUUGGGGUCUGCAACUCGACCUCAUGAAGUCGGAGUCGCUAGUAAUCGCAGAUCAGCAACGCUGCGGUGAAUACGUUCCCGGGGCUUGUACACACCGCCCGUCAAGUCAUGAAAGUUGGUAACACCCGAAGCCGGUGGCCUAACCGUUGUGGGGGAGCCGUCGAAGGUGGGACUGGUGAUUAGGACUAAGUCGUAACAAGGUAGCCGUAUCGGAAGG
This 1477-nucleotide ribosomal RNA is filed under the name uncultured bacterium. RNAcentral's name for it is "16S ribosomal RNA". It matches the Rfam family "Bacterial small subunit ribosomal RNA". The record is from RNAcentral.